Molecule: transfer RNA, 73 nt
Organism: Camelus ferus (Wild Bactrian camel)
Lineage: Eukaryota; Metazoa; Chordata; Mammalia; Artiodactyla; Camelidae
Rfam family: tRNA
About the family: Transfer RNA (tRNA) molecules are approximately 80 nucleotides in length. Their secondary structure includes four short double-helical elements and three loops (D, anti-codon, and T loops).
Source: Rfam
GAGGGUAUAGCUCAAGUGGUAGAGCACAUACUUAGCAUACACAAGGUCCUGGGUUCAAUCCCCAGUACCUCCU